GUGAAAAUGCACUGACAGACCAUUAAUAUGGAGCUGAUCGCAAAAAUCUCAGUGAAAUAUGAAAGUCUUUGUAGUUUUAUUAAAGCAAAAGCACUUUUGGACUCCACACCAAUAUUUCACCAGAAGAAUUAUGAGCAUCCACUACAUCAUAAAUAGAAUAACAACGUCGAGUUUUAUAAACUGGAAAUGGUUUCUUCUGUUCUGUCCUGAUGACUCGAACUGAUCGGGCAUUUAACUCGAUUUCACGCACGCAAAAUUGUGAAUUUUUGCAAAUCACGACUCUUAUACGUACCUUUAAACCGGUACCGAGGACGACGUAGUCAUAUUCUUCAUCCAUUGCAAACGGAAAGAACUUUAAAACGAAGAAAAUCACAAGAAAUUGCUUUAAAUUUCUUUCAAAUGUUACACGAUUCACACACCCUGAGUUGAGGAAGAAGAGGGUUGAUGAAGGCUAAUAUAAAUCCACCUAUGGAUACAAGGGUUCUUUUGGGGAUAAUGAACAACUCACCAAUAUUGAGGUGCAAAAAUCUAAACGUUACUAAAAU
Non-coding RNA from Paramuricea clavata, 545 nucleotides. NCBI's taxonomy places the organism in Eukaryota, Metazoa, Cnidaria, Anthozoa, Malacalcyonacea, Plexauridae. The record is from the annotation of a GenBank genome assembly.